This is a non-coding RNA of Manis javanica (Malayan pangolin), 498 nucleotides long. The record is from RefSeq and is a predicted model, not a curated record. Lineage: Eukaryota; Metazoa; Chordata; Mammalia; Pholidota; Manidae.
CAGCUGGGACUUCAGGGCCUCUGCCUCCUUCCCUGCUUGUUCAUCAUGGGUCACCUGGAUGUUCUCACUGAGCUCCUUCUGCAGCAUGAGAGGAAGAAGGGGCAAGUACUGGGGUGGUAGGAAAGAGGUGUCGCACCCAUGGGAUCCUAAUAGACACCCUGCAUGCUCAUGUCCACCUCAUCAUCGGCCUCUGGACCCAGUGUACCACUCCUUCCAGCCCUCUGCCCCGGGGAAGGCUGCCUGCUACUAGCUACGCUAUAUGGUGGGGUGAAAAUACAGAGCUGCACAACGUGAACGACAUGACUCAAAUUCUGAGAAACCAAGCCUGCGCAGAAACUGAAUUGGAAGGACAGAACCCCCAGGGCCUGCAGCUCCGAGGCCAGCCUGGAACAAAGUGCUGAUCAGAGUGGGAUGCACCUCCUCUCUCCCCUGGACACUCCCCCAGCCCCGGCAGUCACUGGCCCAGGCAAAGGCCAGGCAAUGGCUUCCAACACCACA